RNAcentral lists this ribosomal RNA (502 nucleotides) under uncultured bacterium. Its description in RNAcentral is "bacterial SSU rRNA". It matches the Rfam family "Bacterial small subunit ribosomal RNA", at positions 8 to 507 of the family's 1533-position model. The record is from RNAcentral.
AGAGUUUGAUCCUGGCUCAGAUUGAACGCUGGCGGAAUGCUUUACACAUGCAAGUCGAGCGGCAGCGCGGGGGCAACCCUGGCGGCGAGCGGCGAACGGGUGAGUAACAUAUCGGAACGUACCCGUCUGGGGGAUAACACAGCGAAAGCUGUGCUAAUACCGCAUACGACCUGAGGGUGAAAGCGGGGGAUCGCAAGACCUCGCGCGAUGGGAGCGGCCGAUAUCGGAUUAGCUUGUUGGUGAGGUAAAGGCUCACCAAGGCGACGAUCCGUAGCUGGUCUGAGAGGACGACCAGCCACACUGGAACUGAGACACGGUCCAGACUCCUACGGGAGGCAGCAGUGGGGAAUUUUGGACAAUGGGCGAAAGCCUGAUCCAGCCAUGCCGCGUGAGUGAAGAAGGCCUUCGGGUUGUAAAGCUCUUUCGGUGGGGAAGAAAUUGCAUAGGCUAAUACCCUAUGUAGAUGACGGUACCUGGAGAAGAAGCACCGGCUAACUACGUG